This 1350-nucleotide long non-coding RNA is filed under the name Junco hyemalis (dark-eyed junco). RNAcentral's name for it is "lncRNA (ENSJHYG00000008552.1)". The record is from RNAcentral. Lineage: Eukaryota; Metazoa; Chordata; Aves; Passeriformes; Passerellidae.
AUGAAUCCUCAUUCCUGUCCAUCCCUGCAGCCUCCCAGUGCAAGGGCUGCGGUGGGCACUGAUCUGUGCCGGGGGGUGGUAAUCGUGCCAAAUCCCUGCCCUUUUAACCCAAAUCCCCCGUGGGGAGUCUCAGCAGAGUCACACAGCCCGGGCAGGGGGUGCCAGGUUGGGGUGGGGCACAGGGUGGGUCUCAGGUCCCCCCAAGGAGGGGUCUGGGCACCUGGAAGGGAAAUUCCCAUUUUCCAUGCCCGGCUGGGAGCACAGGCCUGGCCACAGCCCCCAGCCGUUGGGGACACUGCCCUGGUGUCACCAAAGUUCCAGGGCCACCCAGAGGGUGCCAGGAGGGCACCAGUGUGCGACAUUGCCGGCGACAAGGAGCAGCACCUGCAUCCGAGGAACGGCCACAUUCUACGGCCACAGCGAGAGCGUGGGGCCGCCGAGAGCCCCUGCGGGCACGGACUCAGCCCCUCCCUGCCCGUCCUCGUCCUGUGGCAUCCCAGAGCCCUUCCCGGCCCCGCGGGCACCCCAGAGUCCUUCCCAGCCCCGAGGGCACCCCAGAGCCCUUCCCGGCCCCGAGGCCAUCCCGGCGGCCCCGCUGCCAGCGCGAUAAGCGCGGCGAGCGCGGCGAGCGCGGCUCCCGGUCCCCUCCCUGCUGAGUCAAGCCACCGAAACUCAGCCCCCGGAGCUGGCGGGGUGCCGGUCCCCGCGGCUGCUGCUGCUGCUGCUGAGCCGGCCCCACCGCGCCCUGCCCCGCCGGCGCUGCGCCGGGAGCUAUUCCCAGCCUCUUCCCAAGAGCAUAUCCAGCUCCCGGCGCUGAUCCGGCUCCAUCCCACGCGGCCCCGGGUGCUGCCGCCCAGGCAGGGCUCAGCCCGGUGCCCAGAGGGGCAGGAGCAAUCUUUUGGAAGCAGAGGAGAGGUGGGAGCGGGUUUGGAGGAGCUUCAGGCCGUUCCCAUGACAAAUCUCCCCGGCAGAGUCACGCAGGCGGGGAUGGGGCCACGCUCCGGGCGCAGGAAGGCAGGAAGGGGCUGGAGAGGCAGAGUGAGGAGCCUGGGAAGUGCCGGAGGUGCCGGAGGAUGGCGAGCGGGGAUUCCAGAGAGUCGAUUCUCCCCACCCUGUGACUCACUUCCCACGGCACUUUCCUGUCUGCCAGCGCCCAGGCCGUGGGGCAGCCGUGGGGCUCCAGGGGUGAUGGGAUCAUCUGCCAUGGGGCAGCUGUGGGGCUCCAGGGGUGAUGGGAUGGUCCAGGGAUCUGCCCAGUCUGGAGCAGGGAAAGGGAUGUGUGGGACUACACAGAUCCCGGAUUAUCCUCUCUCGUCAUCCACAGGAAAUGGGGAGAGAAAGGGGUUCUGA